GUCCACGCUGUAACGAUGUCAACUAGAUGUAGGGUGUUGAUCCCUCUGUGUCGCAGCUAACGCAUUAAGUUGACCGCCUGGGAGUACGGUCGCAAGAUUAAACUACAAAGGAAUUGACGGGGCCCGGCACAAGCGGUGGAGUAUGUGGUUUAAUUCGAUGCAACGCGAAGAACCUUACCUGGUCUUGACAUCCCAGAAAUCCCUUGGAAACUUGGGAGUGCUUCCAUUAGGAAGAAUCUGGAGACAGGUGCUGCAUGGCUGUCGU
Molecule: ribosomal RNA, 265 nt
Filed under: uncultured bacterium
Lineage: Bacteria
Description: partial 16S ribosomal RNA
Rfam family: Bacterial small subunit ribosomal RNA
Source: RNAcentral